RNAcentral lists this unclassified non-coding RNA (343 nucleotides) under soil metagenome. RNAcentral's name for it is "partial contains 5.8S ribosomal RNA, internal transcribed spacer 2, and large subunit ribosomal RNA". The stretch from base 1 to 120 matches the Rfam family "5.8S ribosomal RNA", at positions 35 to 154 of the family's 154-position model. The record is from RNAcentral.
GAUGAAGAACGCAGCGAAAUGCGAUAAGUAAUGUGAAUUGCAGAAUUCAGUGAAUCAUCGAAUCUUUGAACGCACAUUGCGCCCGCCAGCAUUCUGGCGGGCAUGCCUGUUCGAGCGUCAUUUCAACCCUCGAGCCCCCCCGGGGGCCUCGGUGUUGGGGGACGGCACACCAGCUGCCCCCGAAAUGCAGUGGCGACCCCGCCGCAGCCUCCCCUGCGUAGUAGCACACACCUCGCACCGGAGCGCGGAGGCGGUCACGCCGUAAAACGCCCAACUUUCUUAGAGUUGACCUCGGAUCAGGUAGGAAUACCCGCUGAACUUAAGCAUAUCAAUAAGCGGAGGA